RNAcentral lists this ribosomal RNA (429 nucleotides) under Acidobacteriota bacterium. RNAcentral describes it as "Acidobacteria bacterium partial 16S ribosomal RNA". It matches the Rfam family "Bacterial small subunit ribosomal RNA", at positions 355 to 776 of the family's 1533-position model. Lineage: Bacteria; Pseudomonadati; Acidobacteriota. The record is from RNAcentral.
UGGGGAAUUUUGGACAAUGGGGGAAACCCUGAUCCAGCCAUCCCGCGUGUGCGAUGAAGGCCUUCGGGUUGUAAAGCACUUUUGGCAGGGAAGAAACGUCAUGGGUUAAUACCCCGUGAAACUGACGGUACCUGCAGAAUAAGCACCGGCUAACUACGUGCCAGCAGCCGCGGUAAUACGUAGGGUGCAAGCGUUAAUCGGAAUUACUGGGCGUAAAGCGUGCGCAGGCGGUUCGGAAAGAAAGAUGUGAAAUCCCAGAGCUCAACUUUGGAACUGCAUUUUUAACUACCGGGCUAGAGUGUGUCAGAGGGAGGUGGAAUUCCGCGUGUAGCAGUGAAAUGCGUAGAUAUGCGGAGGAACACCGAUGGCGAAGGCAGCCUCCUGGGAUAACACUGACGCUCAUGCACGAAAGCGUGGGGAGCAAACAGG